RNAcentral lists this transfer RNA (71 nucleotides) under Ovis aries (sheep). It matches the Rfam family "tRNA". Rfam says of the family: Transfer RNA (tRNA) molecules are approximately 80 nucleotides in length. The record is from Rfam by way of RNAcentral. Lineage: Eukaryota; Metazoa; Chordata; Mammalia; Artiodactyla; Bovidae.
UCCUUACUAGCUCAGCUGUAAAGAAUCUGCCUGCAAUGCAGGAGACCCUAGUUCGAUUCCUGGGUCAGGAA